Molecule: long non-coding RNA, 600 nt
Organism: Ceratitis capitata (Mediterranean fruit fly)
Lineage: Eukaryota; Metazoa; Arthropoda; Insecta; Diptera; Tephritidae
Exons: 2
Source: RefSeq, a predicted model, not a curated record
CCCACUUAAGAUCAACGCUGCAAUUCAAUUCUACAUUCAAUUACGUUUUAAACUUUGGCGAGUAAACAACUUAAGCGGGUAAACGGCAAAUAACAGUAAAUAACCGAAAAUAAAACGAACGAGUGAAUUCUAAUGGAAAAUUUUUAAAUUUUCAACAUAAUUUGUGGAUUUUCCAACUUUGGAUAAUAAACACAAAAACAACACCAAUUUACAAAAACAAGAAAAAAAAUCUUGCCAACAUUUUAACGCAUUCAACGCUCAAAUAAUGGUCUUGUUGCGCGUUAUAAAAUAUCUUGUGGGUUGUGUUGUGCGUCUUUGUGAGGAGCUCAAUCACAGCGUUCUCUCCUGGAAAAUGCUUAAAUAUCGUAUGUUGCAACAAAAAUGACGUCUGCCUGUAGUGCGUGGUUGGAGGCAACAGAUUCUUGUUUGUGUUUUAUUUCUUGCCAAUGAUGAUCUGCUAAUUAUUUUCGAGGAUUUGUAGCAGUAUUCGUGAAUAAUGAAGUUCGUAGCUUAAGUCUUUUGUUAUACGAAAAUAAGGAUCAAAAGAAAGUGUGUCCAAAAUGGAAAAUAAAUGUUUGGAAAUUGAUUUGUUCAAAAAUA